Cebus imitator (Panamanian white-faced capuchin) is the source of this 8383-nucleotide RNA transcript. It is a transcript of the gene named MICOS complex subunit MIC27-like, with no coding region annotated. The transcript has a single exon. Lineage: Eukaryota; Metazoa; Chordata; Mammalia; Primates; Cebidae. The record is from RefSeq and is a predicted model, not a curated record.
UUGAAUAAGUCUAAUAAUAAAGAAACAAAAAAUCCAAGAGGUUAUAUAAAACAUGUUUAAGGCAUUAUCCCAAAAGAUGGCAUAAAUUUAGAUUUUUAAAAGAUAGAUGCAACCUGGCCUUUUGUCUUAGUUCACUGUAAAAGGGUAUGUCCACAUGUAACUUGGGGAUAGGUUUUUGAGAUUAGUGGUAACAUAUAUAAAUGAUUUUAGUAAAAACUCAGGUUAUAGUAGUACAUAUAAAUAUAUUAGCUGUUCAAAUGAAUAUGUGAGCGGAUUUUAUGUGCACAAACAUGUGAAUAAAUAAUGUUACCUAUACGAGCUCUUUGCUAUGAUUUAGGAAUGUCGUUCCUUUCCUGUCUCAAAAAAGUAGCUAAACAAUGUAUUUAUCCUGAUUUCUAUUUUAUCUUGGUUUGUAAAAUAAACCAUUUCAAAAACUAAAGGUAUAUUUCGACUCACAGGACCUGUAUUUGCAUACCUUUGCAUAAAUAGAUACAUACACAUAGGCAAUACUCAAGGGAAGAAAUACAUGUAUAUCUCUAUGUAUUUGAAUCCAACUUCAGAUAUGUAUGUUCUACCUUACCAAAAGAUAUACUGGGAAUUUUUUAAUAGUUCUAAUUCUUUCCUUUAGGUUUUGCUACAAGAUUCCUUAAAUUGCGUCUUAUGUCUGAGAUCACACAUAAGGGAAAGAGCAUGUGUAAAACUGAUUUCAAAUCACAUCAAGCUACUUGGUUGCCACUAGAAAGCUAAAAAGCAUGGACCUGCUAUAAAUAUUUAGGUUUUCCUUGUUAAUAAAUGCUCCAAGGCAACUGGGAAGAGAUAUGGAAAUCUGAAACUACAAUGAUAAAAAUCUUAAAGAAUCAUCUAUUCCAACUAGGUAAGAGUAGGAACCACUGAAGAAAUCCCAUUCUAUGACUAGGCUACCCUGUUCAAUAAUGGCUAUGUUUGACAAUUUUUUUUUCCCCACAAAUCGUUCAUUUUAUAUAACGAUUCACAGUUUGUAUGCCAUUCAUAUGUAUAUAAAAUCAUCUAAUCUUGACAAAACCUAUGAGAAAAAUGUGGCACAAUCACGGGCACAGAAAUAAUGUGACUUACACAAAGCUACUAAGCUAUGAAUGGUAAAACUGAGAUACCCAAGUCUCCUGCCCCUAAAUGUAUCUUUAUUGUCUCCCACCUGAUCUGCAGGACUGAAUUCCACUUUCCCUGACAAGUCCCAUUUCUUGCAGCACAAUGUCCCCUUGUACACCUAACUGGAAUUCUUCCUUAGGUGGUUUAUCAAAUCCUCUCUAGUCAAUUCCCUACUCUGUAGCUAGAGGUAUCUUCCCAAAUUUAAACCAGGAAGUCUUCUAUGUAAGACCAGCAACUGUUGUUCACUGUUUCUAGAUAAGGAACAGACUUUUUACCAAGGUCUUUAAAGAAUGAGUGACCUCAUCCCUUCCUACCUUUUCAGGUUUAGAGCAGAUUUUGUGAUCAUUGACAGGCUUUUUGUUUUUCUUAAGCACCAUGCUUGCUCACCCUAGAUCCCUCUCGACCCCUUUUCACCUAGUCAAUGUAUAUUCUUUCUUACUUUCAGGCAAGCCUUCCCUUCUCUUCCCUUACUAAGUAAAUCAAAUGCUCCUACUAUAUACUCUUUCUCAUGGCACCAUAUACCUCUACUUCUUUGAAGUUACCAUCGUUGCAGUUUACAUUUAUUUAUGUAAUUACUUGGUUAAUGUCUGCCUUUUCCAUCAGACUGUCGGUGCCAUAAAGUGUAAAAAGGAGGUCAGUUUUUCUGUUUUUAGUCACUAUUAUAUCCCCAAUGCUUGGCACAAUUCCCAGCCUGCAAGUAUAUACGUGAUUUAAAAGCUAAGCAAAUAUGGAACUAGGUUAAUUCUUUCCAUCUUUAAAUAUUUGAAAAGUUAUUAUUCUAAUAAUUUCUCUACAUUACACACACAAAAGUUAUGUUAAAAAACCAUUCUGAUUCUUCAAAAUAUUUUUUAUGAUAAAGUUCCCAGAUACCUCUUAAAACCUGGAAACCAUAAAUGAAUACAAUGUUAUCUUCUCAUCAGUACAGAGACUGCUCUUCCCCAUUCCAAGUACUUCACUUCUAUUAAAACAGUCUACACUUGUGUUUUCAGUUUGUGCUGAUAGAGCAAUAUCUGAGACUGGGUAAUUUACAAAGAACAAAAACUAAUAUCUUACAAUUCUUGGCUGGAAGUCAAGGUGUCGCCAGGUUUGGUUGUCUGGUGAGGGCUGCAUCCUCCAGAGUAGAGGAAAACUGUGUCCUCACAUGGCAGAAGAAGGAGCUCCCGAAGGCUGUGAAAGUUGCUUUUAUAGGGGUCUUACUCCCAUUCACAAGGGAAGGAGCCCUCAUGACCUUAUGACCUCUUAAAGAUCCUGCGCUCUAAUAGUAUCACAUUGGCCCUUAAGUUUUCAAAUCUCACUUUUGGGGAAGACACAUUCAAACUCUGGCACUGUGGGACAUGGCAGUGACAGUUAAACCACAACUACCCAGGUCUCUUCAUAUGAACUUCUUUUAAAACACAUCCACUUGAUUCGUGGCUAGUUUGAUAAUUUGACAAACCUAUAUGCAAAAUUUUAAUCAUUAUUACAGACCAUCUUAGUUUCAGCCAAUCAUUUCAGAUGACUAAGCUUUUUCAACCCUAAUUCCCUGAGCCAAACUAUUAGCUUUUGCUCCCAGCUUUAUGUGAUAUGCAAAAUGUGAUGUGCCUGUUUAAUCCAAGUCCGUGAUAACAAUGAUUAAUAGAACAGAGUGAAAAAAACGACCAUGCCAUGUCACUAGAAAUACCUUUCUCCAAGCUGACAUCAAAUGAUUCAUCAAAUUAUUUCAAUCAUCCACUAAUUUACCCGGCCCAAUAACCCAACUCCUAAUUUGGCCAUCUAUUAAAUAUUUCAUAAACAUAUCAUGAGACACUUUGCCUGAAACAUUGCUAAAUUCAAUUUACUCAACCUACAUGGGGAAAAAAAAAUCACAUGUUUAACAUGACACACUCCCAGUGAGCCCAUGUGGUCCCUUGAAGACUGCUCCUUUUCUAGGUAAGUCCUCACAAGUAUCUGUCUAAUAAUCAGUUAAUGAAUUGUCCAAAGGGCCAGGUGCGGUGGCUCACACCUAUAAUCCCAGCACUUUGGGAGGCUGAGGCAGGCAGAUCACAAAGUCAAGAGAUUGAGACCAUCCUGACCAACAUGGUGAAACCCCACCUACACGAAAAAUACAAAAAUUAUCCGAGCAUGGUGGCAGACACCUAUAGUCCAGCUACCUGAGGGGCUGAAAGAGGAGAACCACUUGAACCCAGUAGGCAGAGGUUGCAAUGAGCAGAGAUGGUGCCACUGCACUCCAGCCUGACAACAGUGCAAGACUCCAACUUAACAACAACAAAAAAGGAAUUGUCCCAAGGAUAAACAUAAAACCCACUAAUCUUAUAAUAGCAGAAUUCUACCUUUCCUCUCUUUUUUGAAAAUAAAAACAGUAUCUGCAUGAUCUUUAGUCUUCUGGCAUCUCUGUUACUGGUCAUAAUGGUUCAAAGAUUACCUAACCAUUCAUAUCUGCAAGUCAUUUAAUCCUAGGACAUUAACCAGUUGAGAGCAAAAAAGUGUUUUCUCAUCAUUGCUUUGCCUUCCUUAACUUUAAUUCCCUUGCCACUGUCAUUAGUCAUCUUUACUGAACUUGAAUAUCAUUUUCUUUUGAUAGAGAAAUUAAAAACCCAGGAGUUCCAUAACUCUGCCUUCACUCCACUAUCCAGUAUUACAUCUGUCUCAAUCAGUAGUUUAUUCUUUUAUUAUUAUGUUUCUUUCAUGAUCUGAACAUAAUAUGUUCCAGUACUUACUAUCCUUAUAAGCCUCAAUGCAUUUUAGGAUUCAGUUUCCUGUAUGCCAUUCUCUCAGUUUUAUACUACAUUUGUAUUUGUGUCCCAACCUCUUCUUACUUAUGAGACUAAUUUUGCUUAUAUAGUCACUAUUUCACUUUAAGGAACUCCACGCAUUCAUUCAUUCAAUGAAUGUUUUACUGAUGGCCAUCUACAUGCAAUUUACUAAACUAAAGCAUACAAAGAUACCUAAGAUCUAUCUGGUCCCUGUCUUCAAGGAAUCUAGACAGAAAUAUAGGCUGCUAGGUGGAAUUGUAGGCUUCUAUAAUACCAAGAUAAAAAUAAGUGCUGUGUGAGCAGAGUACAGAGCAACUAGCUCAAGCAUGAAAUAGCUGCUUAAGUCUUCAUCAAGGAAACGACAUCUGAAUUGAGUCGUGAGGAAGCAGCCAUUAGAAGACUGGAAGUAUCCUAGGGAACAGCAUGUGCAAAGGUAUGGCAAUAUGAAAAAGUACAUUGUUUUCAUACAGGAAUGAUGGGCUUCAUGCAGCUAGGACUUAAGGUGCAUGAAGUGUAAUUUCAAGAGACAGCUUAGAAAUACGGGGUCAGUUAUAAAAAAAAAAAAAGGCCUUGUAAUAUAAGUCUCCGAUAGAUAGAAUAAAAUAAAAUGAAGCAAAUGCUCUCUAUAGAAUACUAUGCAGCAGUUAGGAGUAGCAAUCCAGAGGUAUGCCCAAUGACAUAGACAGAUCUUUAAAACAGUGCUGAGGUCAAAAUAAAAAAAUGUCUACAGCAUAACACAAGCAUGCAAAUUUAAAAUACAUGCAACUCCAGUAUUUGUCUGUACACAAAAUAAAUCUACAUGUUUUACAAGGGCACAAACAAAUAAAAGGAUUCAGAUCAGAAACAUCAGAAUUUACCUAUCGAGUAGAAGAGUAAUGAGGGUAGGAAAUAGAAACAAAGUGUUUUUUUUUAAACAGACAUACACUUGUUUCAUGACACAAAAAUCUGUAUGUUUUCCUACAGUUGACAAAGGUUUUAAAGUCUGGGAAUGGCAAAAUCUAAUGCAGCUUUUAGGAAUAAAGUUUGGCACAGUGUAAAGAAUAUAGUCCUAUAGUUAUAGUUUCUUCUUGAGUCAAUGAACCUGGGUUCAUUACCCUUUUUCUACAUAUGCUUGAUAGAUCUUAUUAUUCUGUAAGAAAAGGGUAAGUAUAAGACUAAACUGCCAGUAAGUAAAGAUGGGUGUAGAAAUUUUGGUAGUAGAAGAAAGUAAAGACAAGAGCUGAGAGGGAAUAAGUAGCUGCAGAUAAAAGUGGCAUCUUAAAACUCAAAUUUGAUUAUCUGCCAAGAAUAGUAUUGAAAACAUUCCUGCUUUGCAACAGACACUGAACUAAAUAAAUGCUAAGAAUUUCACCAAAUUUAAGAUCUGUUCAUUUUCUUAUAAGUGUGCCAAAGGGAGAGCAACAAGAAAUUAAAACAAAGCCUCUCUGAGUAUGUCUUGGGAGCUCAGAGUAAAGAUCUCUGGAAUAAACUCACACACGCCCUAUCACUUGAGAGAUGAAUCUUGCAUUACACCAAGAACUGCUUCAUCUGUACAAACAGACUUUCUAUAGAACUGUAACUGAACACUACAGGCAAUGAGCCAACACUUUUAAAUUUCAUCAAGCUCUAGUGCCAGGUGACAACUGUUUGCUGUGACAUGAUUUAUGCAACACAUUUCAUCUAGUUAUCUCAGAAUCAAAGGAAUUUUACCAAAGGGUUCUUAUUCAAAUAAACAGGAAGAAUUUCUACCCCAAUCACAUCUGUGAAAAGUAGAAGACACGUGGUAAGUUUCAGGAAAAGAUCCUACUGAUUAAAUUCUGAGAAUAAAGGACUGGAACACGUAAAAUUGGCACACUAACUGGGCACUCCUCUAUCAUGAAGACGCUGUUUUACAUUUGGAUGCAGUGAGCUAACUAAAAAGCUACCUGAAUCAAAAUAAAUUUUAUGAAUAAUAAGUGAAAGUAUACAUAACAUAAAACAACACUUAUUUAUAUAACUUUACAUUUCUAUAGACAUACUCAUGAGGGUCAGAUUUUUUUGUUUUGCUCUUCCCUUUUUGUUCUGUAUGUCAGUAAUUUCAUAGGAAUUCUUUUCCUUCUCCAUCUUCUCUUGAAGUAUCACUUCAGCCCCUAGUUAUUUCAUCCUACUACAUUCUUAUCCAUUUUACUCAGAAUAAAUUAUAGUUUGAAAGAAGGUAGAAUUUAAAAGAGGAAAGCUUCCAGCAAAGUUCUUUACCUAAAGAAGGUUAUGUAUGUUAUCCAUGAAUGGUGAGAGUAUGGGUGUAGUUCCUUUUCUCUUCAUAAUACUUGUGUUGCUUUUAUAAUCAAGGAAAAGAGUUUUAAAUACUGAUAUAGUGAUAUGACGGAGAAAAAAAAUUUAUCAUAACAAAUGUUCAACUUCAAAAGAUGGUUGGUUACAUAUCAAAGGACUCUGGUCAGGGAUCUUCCUCUUGCCUUCUACCAUUACUCAGGCUUACAACCCAACUUAGAUAUGAAUACACGAAUUCAUCAGCUUUAUCAUAGCGAAUGUGACCAAUUAGAUGAUGGAAGGGGAAGGCAGGGGCCAGUAAAACCUAAAAGUUGCAUAUCAGGUACUUAGAAAAGAUAAUAAAUCUAUUCUGGGCUCUACAAAUUAAAUUAUACUAAAAUGCUCAAUUUUUUUUGAGAUGUAAAUUAAAUCAGCACCAAUUGGAGAACACAAAUACUCUUACUCCUGAAUCUACACAUAGAUUAUUAAAUAAUCUAAUAUUUUAAUAUCACAUAAUAGAUUUCAUAUUAUUUUUAAAAAGUCCUUGUUCCAUAAAACAAUUAUCACCCUGAUAUUUGCCCAGUUUUCCUCUACCUUAUACUAAUCAAAUAAAUAAGAUAAACCAACAUUUUAAAAAAUAUAAUUUUCAAUGUUUAAUUUUACUUUUCUUAGCACUAAACUUGAAAUUGAUAAACUCAGUGGUUGUAAAACCUUAUACAUAUCACUUAGCUCAUUUUUGUCUACUUUAAAUGAAGCAGGAUUUCACAGACGCAUAGAGCUAGUACCUUACCUCCCUUAACCCCAUCCCAACCCCAUUCCAGGUUUAGUUAUAGGCUACACAUGCCCACUAUCAAAAAAAGCUUCUAAACACUGUUAACGAUUUUCUUGACAUUUCCAAGUACACAUGCUUCUAUUUCUACAGUAAGAAAAGACAAUGUUUCCCUAAUCGCUUAACCAAUUUCCUAACAAACAACACAUUUUCAUUACAUGUGCAAAAGAAAACUAUAAACGUCUCUCAAUACUUCUCCUGUAUUCUUACUCUAACGUAUUUAAUGUUCUCACAGAUUAUUUUUCUUAUGACAGAUUAUCAAAAUUUAUAAAAUCUGACAAUUCUUAGUACAUUUUUAACAUUCAUUGCUGAGAUUCUAUUUAUUUUUUUAUCUUCAUUAACAUUUAAAAUAUUUAUUUAAUAUAAUAUUUAUUUAAAUUAGAUUGACAAAAUAUAUGUUGCAAACGUUUAUAAAGCUCUUAAGACAGCAACAGACCUUGGCCGAAAGGGUCGUAGACAUGGCGGCGAUCAGGAUGGGAAAACUGACAACCGUGCCUACAGGUCUGAUUUAUGCAUCUGUAAGUGUACAUGCAACCAAAGAAGAGGAAUCCAAAAAGCAGCUAGUGAAACCAGAGCAGCUCCCCAUAUAUACAGCACCACCGCUCCAGUCUAAAUAUGUUGAAGAGCAGCCUGGUCAUUUACAAAUGGGCUUUGCUUCUGUCCGCACUGCAACUGGUCGUUAUGUUAGCUGGUGCAAAGGUGUUUAUGUCUUUGUGAAAAAUGGGAUAAUGGAUACAGUACAAUUUGGAAAAGAUGCUUAUGUCUAUCUGAAGAAUCCUCCUCAAGAUUUUCUUCCGAAAAUGGGAGUUAUUACAGUUUCAGGAUUGGUGGGCUUGGUUUCAGCGAGAAAAGGUUCUAAGUUUAAGAAAAUUACUUAUCCUCUGGGACUGGCCACUUUAGGAGCAACUGUUUGCUACCCAGUUCAGUCGGUAAUAAUUGCUAAGGUAACAGGGAAAAAUAUAUAUGCUACAAGCCAGCAAAUUUUUGAAACAGUUAAAUCACCGUGGACAAAAAGCAACAAAAAGGAGUCACUUCCUCAACCUAAGGAAAAAACUAAGCUAGGAUCCUCUGCCCAAAUAGAAGUAUCUGGAAAAACAACUCACGUCUUGAAACAACAUUCAUUGCCUUUGCCAACAUAACUCAGCUCUGAAGCAGAGACCAAAUCAGUGUCCACCUCAGGUGCUACACAGUUUAUGCUUGACCCCAAGCUCAUGGAUCAUGGGCAGUCCCACCCAGAAGAUAUAGAUAUGUACAGCACUAGAAGCUGAAGUAGACUGCAUAGAGAGACUACAUAGAAAACUACAAGAUGUGUGAAGUUGCAAAUAAUGGUGAAAAAAAUCAUGUAAUGGGUAACUGAUACAUAGAGUAUUACCUAAAACAAGUUUUCCCCUUACAUCUCCAAAUGUGCAAUUUGAUAAAUUACAUAAGUGGUUAACACAGAAACUGUGAAUGCAAUGCAAACGAUAUUAAA